RNAcentral lists this ribosomal RNA (446 nucleotides) under uncultured bacterium. RNAcentral's name for it is "partial 16S ribosomal RNA". It matches the Rfam family "Bacterial small subunit ribosomal RNA", at positions 354 to 796 of the family's 1533-position model. The record is from RNAcentral.
GUAGGGAAUAUUGGACAAUGGGGGGAACCCUGAUCCAGCCAUGCCGCGUGGAGGAAGACUGCCCUCUGGGUUGUAAACUCCUUUUAUAUGGGAAGAACCGUCCUCAUUAAUGAGUGACCUGACGGUACCAUAGGAAUAAGCACCGGCUAACUCCGUGCCAGCAGCCGCGGUAAUACGGUGGGUGCAAGCGUUAUCCGGAUUCACUGGGUUUAAAGGGUGCGUAGGCGGAUAAAUAAGUCAGUGGUGAAAUCAACGGGCUCAACCUGUUAACUGCCAUUGAUACUGUGUAUCUUGAAUGUGAGAGAGGUAGGCGGAAUGUUGCAUGUAGCGGUGAAAUGCUUAGAUAUGAUACGGAACACCGAUUGCGAAGGCAGCUUACUAUUUCGUAAUUGACGCUGAGGCACGAAAGCGUGGGUAGCGAACAGGAUUAGAUACCCCAGUAGUCC